GUUUGAUCAUGGCUCAGGAUGAACGCUAGCGGCAGGCCUAACACAUGCAAGUCGAGGGGUAGGGGAAGCUUGCUUCCUUGAGACCGGCGCACGGGUGCGUAACGCGUAUGCAAUCUACCUUAUACUGAGGGAUAGCCCAGAGAAAUUUGGAUUAAUACCUCAUAGUAUUAUUGAAUGGCAUCAUUUGAUAAUUAAAGUCACAACGGUAUAAGAUGAGCAUGCGUCCCAUUAGUUAGUUGGUAAGGUAACGGCUUACCAAGACAAUGAUGGGUAGGGGUCCUGAGAGGGAGAUCCCCCACACUGGUACUGAGACACGGACCAGACUCCUACGGGAGGCAGCAGUGAGGAAUAUUGGUCAAUGGGCGCAAGCCUGAACCAGCCAUGCCGCGUGCAGGAUGAAGCAUCUAUGGUGUGUAAACUGCUUUUAUACAGGAAGAAACACUCCCUCGUGAGGGAGCUUGACGGUACUGUAGGAAUAAGGACCGGCUAACUCCGUGCCAGCAGCCGCGGUAAUACGGAGGGUCCAAGCGUUAUCCGGAAUCAUUGGGCUUAAAGGGUCCGUAGGC
Molecule: ribosomal RNA, 566 nt
Filed under: uncultured bacterium
Lineage: Bacteria
Description: bacterial SSU rRNA
Rfam family: Bacterial small subunit ribosomal RNA
Source: RNAcentral